GACGAACGCUGGCGGCGUGCUUAACACAUGCCAGUCGAACGGAAAGGCCCCUUUGGGGGUACUCGAGUGGCGAACGGGUGAGUAAGACGUGAGUAAGCAGCCCUUGACUUCGGGAUAACUUCAGGAAACUGGGGCUAAUACCGGAUAGGAAUCCUUGCUGCAUGGUGGGGGGUGGAAAGAUUCGGGGGGUUGGGGGGGACUUACGGGCUAUCAGCUUGUUGGUGGGGGGGUGGCUUACCAAGGCUUUGUCGGGUAGCCGGCCGGAGAGGGCGACCGGCCACAUUGGGACUGAGAUUCGGCCCAGAAUCCUACGGGAGGCAGCAGUGGGGAAUAUUGCACAAUGGGCGGAAGCCCGAUGCAGCAACGCCGCGGGCGGGAAGACGGCCUUCGGGUUGUAAACCGCUUUCAGCAGGUGCGAAGCUUGUGGUGACGGUACCUGCAGAAGAAGCACCGGCUAACUACGUG
RNAcentral lists this ribosomal RNA (465 nucleotides) under uncultured bacterium. Its description in RNAcentral is "partial 16S ribosomal RNA". It matches the Rfam family "Bacterial small subunit ribosomal RNA", at positions 28 to 507 of the family's 1533-position model. The record is from RNAcentral.